RNAcentral lists this ribosomal RNA (478 nucleotides) under uncultured Sphingobacteriales bacterium. RNAcentral describes it as "bacterial SSU rRNA". It matches the Rfam family "Bacterial small subunit ribosomal RNA", at positions 902 to 1382 of the family's 1533-position model. Lineage: Bacteria; Pseudomonadati; Bacteroidota; Sphingobacteriia; Sphingobacteriales. The record is from RNAcentral.
CAAAGGAAUUGACGGGGGCCCGCACAAGCGGUGGAGCAUGUGGUUUAAUUCGAUGAUACGCGAGGAACCUUACCUGGGCUCAAAUGUAUGUUGACGUAUUCUGAAAGGGAUACUUCUUCGGACAAUAUACAAGGUGCUGCAUGGUUGUCGUCAGCUCGUGCCGUGAGGUGUCGGGUUAAGUCCCAUAACGAGCGCAACCCCUAUCAUUAGUUGCCAUCAGGUCAAGCUGGGGACUCUAAUGAAACUGCCUACGCAAGUAGUGAGGAAGGUGGGGAUGACGUCAAAUCAGCACGGCCCUUACGUCCAGGGCUACGCACGUGCUACAAUGGCCGGUACAAAGGGCAGCUACCUGGUGACAGGAUGCUAAUCUCAAAAGCCGGUCUCAGUUCGGAUCGGAGUCUGCAACUCGACUUCAUGAAGCUGGAAUCGCUAGUAAUCGCAGAUCAGCCAAGCUGCGGUGAAUACGUUCCCGGGCCUU